This 444-nucleotide unclassified non-coding RNA is filed under the name Hevea brasiliensis (rubber tree). Lineage: Eukaryota; Viridiplantae; Streptophyta; Magnoliopsida; Malpighiales; Euphorbiaceae. The record is from RNAcentral.
GCUGAAUACAAGGAAACCGUGGAGCGCAGGUAUUUUACAAUCACAGGACAGAAAGCAAGCGAAGAAACAAUUGAGAAUUUGAUAGAAAGUGGAGAAAGUGAAAAUUUCCUGCAGAAAGCAAUCCAGGAUCAAGGGAGAGGCCAGAUUCUUGACACAAUAUCAGAAAUUCAAGAAAGACAUGAUGCGGUGAAGGAGAUAGAGAAGAAUUUGAUCGAGCUCCAUCAGGUGUUCUUGGACAUGGCUGCUCUUGUGGAAGCUCAGGGUCACCAACUCAACGACAUUGAGAGUCAUGUGGCGCAUGCUAGCUCGUUCGUGCGACGAGGGACUGAGCAUCUUCAGGAAGCCAGGGAAUAUCAGAAAAGCUCUAGGAAGUGGACGUGUAUUGCCAUUUAUGGCUUUAUUAUCGUUGUUAUUUUGCUCUUAUUGCCUCUCUUACCAACAAUU